Molecule: long non-coding RNA, 711 nt
Organism: Symphalangus syndactylus (siamang)
Lineage: Eukaryota; Metazoa; Chordata; Mammalia; Primates; Hylobatidae
Source: RefSeq, a predicted model, not a curated record
CUACUAUCCCACAGAUUUAAACGACACACUGCAAACAUUCAUCUAUGUCUCCCUCAGUUCUGAACUAGGUAGAAAAUGAAAAUAACAUUUUUCAGGACACCAAGACCCUUCACAUAGACCAAGCCAUUUCCCAGAUGCCUGGACAGCAGAGGUGCCCGAUCAGUGGGUGCUGAUUGAACCAGACUCAAUGAAGCAACGGCUGCCAUAGGCCACGUCGGAAUCCCUUUCUCCACCGUUAACAGCUCACAUCGUUUAGGGCCUGAGAGUGAGUUUGCGGAGCUGCUUGGACAAAUCAAAAGAAAGCCGGGGCCAGGAAGAAACUCAGACGUCAUCUGGGCUUACAUUUUAAUCUUGCAACUGAGAAGAGGGAGACUCAGCGGGCACAUAAGCCAUGUGUUCCAUGCCCAUGCGAAGUCAGGUCUGGAUAUGAAAUGCGAGCUGAAGUGACUGUGUGAUCCACUUGUGGAAGAUUUUAAGAGCCAAUCUGAAAUAUUCACACUUGAAAUCUGAAGGACUUGUAUAAUGCAAUUCAGCACCACGGACAGCAGGAAAAAAUCCCAUUGACAGAAUAAAUCUGAAGUUUUCCUUUCAGUAUUCAUGAAAAUCUGGUGCUUCAAAACAGAUACACACACAUCCAAUUAGGUACUCAAAAAUAUCUUCAGAAGAAUCCUAGAAAUUACAAAACACAAGUCCUUGGAACAGAGAAUGAAA